UCUAUGUGUUUUACAAAUCGGCAUAUGCGUUCCUAAAACUGUAAUGCGUUAGUCAAAAUGGUCCCUCUGUUACCUUCUGUUGUUAGAGGUUAUGUCGUGACUCUUUGAAUGGACAUGUGACCUUUAACAGGGAUCACACAUCAAUAGAAACUUAUGUGGCACAUUAAAUUCAUCCAUUUCACGCCAAUUGUGAGUUUAAAUCCUCAGGAUUCAAAAACAUAAAAUAAUAUUUACCACAUAAAUUUUAUGUACAGUUUAGUCUCUCUUGAUGUAGAAUUGAUUUUGGAUCCACGUGGAAGGCACAUGUUUAUUUAAUGUGUCACAUCAUAAUCUAUAACCGCAGAAGAUAAUGGAUAGACUGUUUUGUCUCACAAGUUACAAUUUAAGAGAUGUAUUAUCCAAAUUCAUGGACUAUUUUUGAGUUUUGAGAGAUACUCACAAUUUCGAGGAUCAAUUUACCUAUUAAUUUUUACUUUUAUUGUUUAUAAAGUUGUUGAUUGUUUUAUGAUUAAACUGAUUAACCAUUUUAUAUUUAACUAGAUGAGGUUGAUUUUGAUGUAAAAAAUAAAUGAUUCAAAGUUAUUUUUUGAAAGAAUUAGACAACUGGUAUUAUUUUAACUGUUAUGUGAGGGACUUGCCUGAGGAAAAUAUGAACACAUGAAUGGUUCUCAUAGAUGUGAGAGGAUACAAGUUGACUUAAUGUAAUAAAAAAGAUAAGGAAGGGAGAAAAAGUUAAAUGUGAUAAACUUAUUAAUUUUGUAACUAGUCAGUACUAAAUAAAAUUGACUAUUUCUUAAUUUUUUUUAUUUUUUUUUACUAUUAGACUGAGAUCAAAGGGCCAACAUGAACUACUUUGCACAGAUAAUCCAAAAUAUCAUAGAUGGUAGAUCUCCUUCUUACAUUACAUGUUUGUAUUGCAUCAUAUCUAAUGGUAAAGUACACCUUAGUAAGCCUACACCAUACACACUAAAUCCUUUUCCACCCCUUGUUGUCACAUUGCCCAACACCGAAAAUCUUAAACUAUUGUGUGUCUUCCACUUGGGUGUCAUUGACCUAUGGUGUCAUAGAUCUUUGGUAUUUGUUCAUAUAUCUCUUAAUCAAUCAUUCUUUUUUAUCGAAAAUACUCUAAAGACAAAUCGUUCAAAAUCGCUACGAUAGUUGGUUUCAGCUCUGAAGAAAAUUGAAUUUGACAUGUUUCGUAAUUAAUUGAAUUAAAAGUUUUUGAUUCUAAAAUUAAACUUAAAUUCAACUCACACACUUAAUCAGUUAAUCUUCAUGAUACUUUUAGCUAGAAUCAAUUUUAUUCAAUCAAUUCAUUCAAAAUCAUAUUUUGUCACCGGAGAACCAAACGCACGAUAUCAUCUUGGAAGACAAUGUAUCAACGAAACUGAAGAUUGUGUUGCAUUUCUUCUAAAUUGCAUUUCAUUUACAUUUACUUAUUAUCAUACCAUUGUAAUUUUGUAUAUUAACUUAGAGAUGCUACCAAGGAUGGUUGAAGAUGCUUUCAAGGCUGAAUAUUUAGCUUUUGUGAAAGGAAGUUUCUAAGGUUGGUUGAAGAAGCGGGAAAUUUUAACAAGAUAAAACGACCACUUUUUUGUUUUUUAAAUUCAUGGCCUUUGAUUUAUAAUAUAUAAGGAGCAUAGGACUGAGAUUGAUCAACAUUAUUUGAUCAUUUAAUUCUUUCUUACAAGAGAGUAUUCGUUCUCAUGUGAUAAAAUACUCGAGACAAUUGAUUCUUAGAUGGAGAAUUUCCAUAUAAUGUUUUUCCUCAAAUUUGUAGUUUAUGGUAUGUUACAGUGUCAAUGUUGUGCUUUGUCAUGGUACUCUUUGUCUGUUUGUGCAGUUAAUUGAAUCUGUAAUAAGAAGGGAAUAUACUGUUUGAUUACCUAUGAUUUUUUAUUUUUAUUUGGUCAAACUAUAAGUUCUACUUUAUGAUGGUAUUGAAACUCUAAUCUCCAAAGACGGUAACUUCACUUUUGGAUUCUUUAGCCCUAAAAAUUCUACAAACCGCUACGUUGGAAUUUGGUGGAAGUCUCAAUCUACAAUCAUAUGGGUGGCAAACAGAAACCAACCACUGAAUGACUCUAAUGGGAUUGUCACGAUAUCUGAAGAUGGAAAUCUUGUGGUAUUAAAUGGACAGAAACGAGUCAUUUGGUCAUCAAAUGUUUCCAACAUAGCAACAAAUACAAGUUCUUGCUUUUCGGGUUUCGGUAACCUUGUGCUUCUGGAGAACACAACCGGAAAAAACUUAUGGCAGAGUAUUCUGCAGCCUUCAGAUACAUUCCUUCCAGGAAUGAAAAUUUCAAACAACAAAAGAACCGGUAAGAAUGAAAAACUCACAUCAUGGAAAAGCCCUUCUGACCCCUCUGUUGGCAACUUCUCUGCUAGUACUGUUGAACGCCUAAGUAUACUUGAAGUGUUUAUUUGGAAUGGAACUCGGCCAUUUUGGCGCAGUGGUCCUUGGAAUGGCAGGGUCUUUACAGGGAUACAAAAAAUGGAAUUUGUAUAUACUAAUACUUUUCAAGGUGGAGAUGAUGGAGAAGGAAAUAAUGUUAUAUUUUAUACGCAACCAAAUGACACGGAAAUAAGGAUCUAUCACCUGAAUUCAAAAGGAAUAUUUGAAAAAAUGUGGUGGGAUGAUCAGAAUAAAGAAAUGAAAGUGAGAUGGAAAAGCCAAAACGCAGAAUGUGAUGUUUAUGGUCUAUGUGGAGAUUUUACAAGCUGUAAUUCAUUGAGCUCACCAGUUUGCAGUUGUUUGAAAGGAUUUGAACCCAGAAAUACUCGUGAAUGGAGUAGAAACAACUGGACUGGCGGGUGUGUUAGGCAGAGACCUUUGCUGUGUAAAAGGGUCACCAAUAAAACCACAAGUAGAAAGGAAGAUGGGUUUCUGAAACUACAGAUGGUUAAAGUUCCAGAUUUUGCUGAAGGUUUAGCAGUUACACCUGACACAUGCAGAAUCUUAUGUUUAGAGAAUUGCUCUUGUGUUGCGUAUUCUCAUCAUGAUGUGAUUGGCUGUAUGUCUUGGACCGGCAAUCUACUUGACAUAGAACAAUUCGAAAUUGGAGGACUUGACCUAUAUGUUCGCGUAUCCUAUUUAGAACUUGGUAUUCUCCUGUUUGUAAAAGCAUUUUAAACAUAUAUAGGUCAUUAACUUGACUCUGCCUUAGGAGUUGAGAAAUAAGAACUGAAUUGAAUUUCUCAUAUUUUAAAUUUUUCAUAUACACAGAUAGGAGAAAUAAGACAAUCUUCAUCGCAAGUACAGGGAUAAUUGCAACUCUUAUUAUUAUCAUUUGCGCAUAUACCACAUGGAGAAGGAUAUCAAACCACUCAGGUAACUUACUAUUUUCAUAUAUUCAACUUUAGUCAUAAAAUUUACCUUCUAUUGAUGAGGAACUAAGCUCAAGUUAUGCAUUUCACUGCAGCUAAUUCUAGUGACAACAUAAUUGGAGAAAUGUCGCAAGAUAAACUACAAGAGCUAUUAAAAUUUGAUUUUGAAAAAGUUGCAACUGCCACAAACAACUUUGACCUGUCAAACAAACUUGGACAGGGUGGUUUUGGUCCCGUAUACAAGGUGCCUUAAAUGCUAAAUAGUUAUGAUAUUUUAAAACCAUUGUGUAUAGUUGUUAUCACAUAAUAAUAAUUUCUUCUAGGGGAAACUGCAAGAUGGUCGAGACAUAGCAGUUAAAAGGCUUUCUAGAGCAUCUGGACAAGGGUUGGAGGAAUUCAUGAACGAAGUAUUGGUGAUUUGUAAGCUUCAACAUCGCAACCUUGUAAGGCUUAUUGGCUGUUGUGUUGAAGGUGAUGAAAAGAUGUUGAUGUAUGAAUACAUGCCAAACAAAAGUUUGGAUGCAUUUAUCUUUGGUUAGUUUUUUAGUCCCCUUUAGCAUUUUCAUAUAUUAAAUUCCCUGUCCUCGUGAGCUUAGCUCAGUUGGUAUGGACAAUGCAUAAUAAUAUGCAAGGUCCGGGGUUUGAACCCCGGACACCACCAAAAAAAUAUAUUAAAUUCCAUACUUUCGUGCUUCUCUUUAUUUUAGUUUUCCUGGAAGCAUGCUAAUAGAGUAAUUUUGAUGGCUUCCCUGUAUAUUUUGUUAAUCUAUUCUAAAUAAUAUAAUGCUACCCUUAUUUUUUAGAUCCAUCAAAAAACAAACUCCUGGAUUGGAGGACACGGUGUAACAUCAUAGAAGGAAUUGCUCGAGGGUUGCUAUAUCUUCACAGAGAUUCUAGGCUAAGAAUUAUUCAUAGAGAUUUGAAGGCAAGUAAUGUCCUGUUAGAUGAGGAGUUGAAUCCAAAAAUAUCAGACUUUGGUCUGGCUAGAAUAUUUGGAGGAGGUGAAGAUCAGGCCAAUACUAGAAGGAUUGUCGGAACUUAGUAAGAAGAUUGCCUUUCUUAUCCAAUAUAUUAGUAGUAAUAAUUGUCAAGUAUUAUUUUGCAACUUGAUUAACUUUUUACAUUUUAAUGUAGUGGCUACAUGUCUCCUGAAUAUGCAAUGCAAGGAUUAUUUUCAGAGAAAUCAGAUGUUUUUAGCUUUGGUGUAUUGCUACUAGAGAUUGUUAUCGGAAGAAGAAACUCAAGUUUUUAUGAUGAUGAGCAUAAUCUUAGCCUUUUAGGAUAUGUAAGCCUCAACAUACCAUUUUUAGCUCAAUUUUGGCAUGUUUUUCUUUUGUUGACACAUUAUUCAAAUGUCUGAUUAUUUCUUUCCAUUUUUCUUUUAUCUCAUUUAGGUAUGGACACAAUGGAGUGAAGACAAUAUUUUGUCUCUAAUAGAUCAAGAAAUAUAUGAUCAUAGUCAUCAUAAUUAUAUUUCAAGGUGCAUACAUAUAGGACUAUUGUGUGCACAAGAACUUGCCAAAGAUAGGCCCACUAUGGCUGCAGUAAUUUCUAUGCUUAACAGUGAAACUUCAUUACUUCCUCCUCCUAGUAAACCUGCAUUCAUCCUGAGGGAGAAUAUGUUAAAUUCAAAGUUAGCUGAAGAAUGUCAAAAUGGUUGUUCCGUCAAUAAUGUCAGUAUUACAGACAUCAGUGGCAGAUAGCACACAAAGUGGUCAUCAUAAUCUGGUUCAGCAUUUGACGUCUAAAGUUUCCUCCAAAAAUAAAAAAAUUAGUCUAGCCAAUAUAAAGGGAAUAAUAUUUUUAGCACAACACCUCGACUCUCGACAGAUUCUUUGGGUCAGCCCUUGACACCAGUAGCGGCUGACCUUCAGGCUAGUGGUUCGAUAUCUAUCCUUACUCAUCUUCGUAGCAACACCCUUAGCUCAGGCGCCUCCAAUGCAACAUUGAUGCCACUUUUUCAGGUCAGUUGAACUGUGCAUGUAGUGGCAUGUGCUUACGCGACGGAGACUGUGCUUUUGUUUUGGCUAGACCUAUGUGCUUUACUCGUUUGUGUUCUGUGGACGUCAGUGAAGCAUUGAGAUUAUUCCAUGCUUUAGAAUGACUUAGUGAUAUGGAGUUUGAUUGCGUGGAGUUCGUGCUCGACUCCAAAAUAACUACGUAUGGUUUGGCAAUAUUAUCUUACUUUGCUUCAAGGAAUAUUUUUGCUUCUCACUUCACAAACUCUCGGGUGGAGUUAAAUAGGAGAUAAGCGAAUACGGUUGCUCACGCCCUUGCAGCACAUUAUCUGCUACUCCCACGACUUAUUUUGAAAUACCCUCGUGUUUUGAUACUCUUACUAUUUAUGAAAUGGUAUAAGCAUAUUUCUUCAAAAAACCAUAUAACAUUCUUAUAGGAAUUUAUUAUAGUUGCAAUGUUGUUGUUGUCGUUGUAAAAUAUAAGUAUAAUUUAUAUGAAAGUGCAAAAUAUCUAUACCUAUAAUUUUAAUCAAAAUCAAAAACAAUUUUAAUCAAAAUUCCAUAAAAAAUAUUAUUUGUAAUUUAUACGCAUUAACGAAAUAAAAAGAGCAGACAUACUAGCAUAGAGUGUGUCCGUCCGAACGCUGACUUUAUAUAUUUUUAGGAUUAAAUACAUUUUUCGUCUGUAUAAAUAUUCAAACUUUUUGUUUUAAUUUUUAUUAAAAAUUUCUUAUUCUUUUAGUCCUACAAAAUUUAUUCGUCAACUCUUCAAAUUUUUCAAUGAAUUUUUGCAUAUAUAUAUUCUUAAUGAGUGAAUAGGCUAUUUUGUCUUCAAAUUUGUUCGCAUUGAUCAUUUUUAUCCUCAAAUUUUUUGAAAUAGACAAUACGUCCUUGAAUGAGCCAUCUUCUCAUCCUAAAAAUAAAUUUUUUACUUUAGCGAUUCUCUUUUAAAUAGAUUUAUUUCCUAGUGAUUAUGUUUUAAUUCAAUAAGAUCGUUUCUUUACAUUUUAAGAAGUUUCAUUUUGAUCAAUAAGAUAUCUAUUCAAUAAAUCAAUUUCUGAUAUUAACCUAAGCUUAUUAUUUGAUCAAGGAUUAUCCAGAAAUUGAUUCGAAAUUUCCGGAAGAAUUAGGAGAUACUUGGAAUUUUCUUGAUCAUUAAAGAAAUUCUAACAAUGUAACUUUUAAUAGAGAUUAUGUGUAUCCUCUCCUCAUAAAAGGUUGGAAUACAAUAAAAGAAUUUUACAAAGGUCAAAAAGAAAUUUUGGCUAAAGGAUAUAUAUAGUCUCUAUUAAAAGUUACAUUAUGAGAAUUUCCCGAAUGAUCAAGGAAAUUCAAAGUAUCUCCUAAUUCUUCUUCAAAUUUUUUCAGAAAUUUCGAAUCAAUUUCAACAUAAUCCUUGAUCAAAUAAUAAGCUUAGGUUAAUAUCAGAAAUUGAUUUAUUGAAUCAAAUGUCUUAUUGAUCAAAAUUUCAAAAUGAAACUUCUUAAAAUGUUAAGAAACAAUCUUAGAGUUAAAACAUAAUCACUAAGAAAUAAACCUAAUUAAGAGAGAAUCACUAAACAAUAAAAGUAAAAAUUAUAUUUUUAGGAUGAGAAAAUUAUAUGAAAUUGUAAACAAGAAGAUUGCAUGUGAUCUAUGAUGUUACUAAUCAAAAGAGAAUCACCAAACAACAAAAGGCAAAAGAAUCUACUGGCCUUCUGAUGACAAUUCUGUUUGCAGCCAUGGUAGAGCAAUCGUUUUUAGUUUCUGUAUAUAAUGAAAGAAGGUAAUGAGGACUUUGUAUAUAACCUUCUUAUUUAUAGUAAGACAUAUACAUCUAAUUUUUUUUUUUUUUUAAAUAGCCUUAAUAGAGGAAAUAAAAGAAAUUUUCAAAUGUAUGAGAUUCCUUUUUUAUUGAAAACCGAUUUCAAUAGUGAGAUUCUUGACUGACUUUACUGUGCUUGUGUCUUUGAAUGGUGGUUUUCAACAGUGUGAUUACAUGCAUUGGCUUGUUAAAAAUAUGGUGGAUUGAAACUGAGUGAAUAUGUGAUCAGGCCGUUUAUGAGAUUUUGGUGGCCUAUGGUGAACCUAUAAUUUAGGUCAUAACUAAUAAACAUAUAUAAACAUCAAAUUUGAUAUAAAAAAUAAAGCAAUUUUUUUUAAGAUCUAAUAGACCCCUAAAAAAAAUUUAAGAUCCAAAUUUCGUAUUUAAGAUUUAGGAUAGUCGCCCUCUUCGUGCCUUAUGUAUGGUCCUAAAUGUGACUUUGAAUCUUUGUGUAGUAUGGCAGUAUGCAUUGGCUUGAUACAUGUGACUUUGAAUUCACUUACACAAACCGAGUGAAUUUUCUUAACAAAUUUAGUUCACUUACAUGCAUUGGCUUGAUACAACACUGCAUGAUAUUGUGUGAGAUAAGAUUAAACUCUCUAAUAACGCGGCCGAAUCUUUUAUCCUUGACAACUUUUAAGUUUUUAAUUUUUCAUCUCGAUUUACCUUAUUCUUAAUAUAGUUUUUGGGUUUAGUCGGUGUUUUUUAUUUGUAAUUUCUUUGUUUUUUUUUUUCUUUCUUUCGUACUGGUUUCCAACCUAUCAAUGGUGGACGACUAAUCCGACCCGUACGUAGAGACAUGUGUACUGCCCAAGCGUUGUUCCCCAUGAGAAUCGAACCUGGUAUUCCCAAGUACAUCCUUGGAAGGAGCUUCUUGCCACUAGAUUCCAAACAACUUGGCUGUAAAUUAAUCUAAUAUGGCUAUGCUUCUCAAGAAAUCUCCGUCUUGAAAAUGUUUCAGUAAACUUGGGCAUGUACUUUGAACAAUUGCAUCAAUGGGAUUUGUGAAAUCGGUUAUUAAAUGUACUUCCGGGAUCUCAAUACCACCGUAAGCAUCAUUUGCUUCACCUAUUGUUCGUGUCAUUCGAAAAAGAUAAGAAUUUAUUAUACUUGCAAUGUUGUUGUUGUUGUCAUUGUAAAAUAUAAGUAUAAUUUGUACAAUAUGAAAGUGAAAAAAUAUAUAUACCGAUAAUUUUAAUCAAAAUCAAAACAAUUUUAAUCAAAAUUCCAUAAAAAAGUACGGUUUAAAAUUUAUAUGCAUUAACGAAAUAAAAAGAGCACAGAGUACCCGUAUGAACACUGACUUUAUAUAUUUUUAGGAUUAAAUAUAUUACAUAUUCAAACUUUUUGUUUUAAUUUUUAUUAAAAAUUUCUUAUUCUUUUAGUCCUACAAAAUUUAUUCGUCAACUCUUCAAAUUUUUCAAUGAAUUUUUGCAUAUAUAUNNNNNNNNNNNNNNNNNNNNNNNNNNNNNNNNNNNNNNNNNNNNNNNNNNNNNNNNNNNNNNNNNNNNNNNNNNNNNNNNNNNNNNNNNNNNNNNNNNNNNNNNNNNNNNNNNNNNNNNNNNNNNNNNNNNNNNNNNNNNNNNNNNNNNNNNNNNNNNNNNNNNNNNNNNNNNNNNNNNNNNNNNNNNNNNNNNNNNNNNNNNNNNUUUUUCUUUUAUCUCAUUUAGGUAUGGACACAAUGGAGUGAAGACAAUAUUUUGUCUCUAAUAGAUCAAGAAAUAUAUGAUCAUAGUCAUCAUAAUUAUAUUUCAAGGUGCAUACAUAUAGGACUAUUGUGUGCACAAGAACUUGCCAAAGAUAGGCCCACUAUGGCUGCAGUAAUUUCUAUGCUUAACAGUGAAACUUCAUUACUUCCUCCUCCUAGUAAACCUGCAUUCAUCCUGAGGGAGAAUAUGUUAAAUUCAAAGUUAGCUGAAGAAUGUCAAAAUGGUUGUUCCGUCAAUAAUGUCAGUAUUACAGACAUCAGUGGCAGAUAGCACACAAAGUGGUCAUCAUAAUCUGGUUCAGCAUUUGACGUCUAAAGUUUCCUCCAAAAAUAAAAAAAUUAGUCUAGCCAAUAUAAAGGGAAUAAUAUUUUUAGCACAACACCUCGACUCUCGACAGAUUCUUUGGGUCAGCCCUUGACACCAGUAGCGGCUGACCUUCAGGCUAGUGGUUCGAUAUCUAUCCUUACUCAUCUUCGUAGCAACACCCUUAGCUCAGGCGCCUCCAAUGCAACAUUGAUGCCACUUUUUCAGGUCAGUUGAACUGUGCAUGUAGUGGCAUGUGCUUACGCGACGGAGACUGUGCUUUUGUUUUGGCUAGACCUAUGUGCUUUACUCGUUUGUGUUCUGUGGACGUCAGUGAAGCAUUGAGAUUAUUCCAUGCUUUAGAAUGACUUAGUGAUAUGGAGUUUGAUUGCGUGGAGUUCGUGCUCGACUCCAAAAUAACUACGUAUGGUUUGGCAAUAUUAUCUUACUUUGCUUCAAGGAAUAUUUUUGCUUCUCACUUCACAAACUCUCGGGUGGAGUUAAAUAGGAGAUAAGCGAAUACGGUUGCUCACGCCCUUGCAGCACAUUAUCUGCUACUCCCACGACUUAUUUUGAAAUACCCUCGUGUUUUGAUACUCUUACUAUUUAUGAAAUGGUAUAAGCAUAUUUCUUCAAAAAACCAUAUAACAUUCUUAUAGGAAUUUAUUAUAGUUGCAAUGUUGUUGUUGUCGUUGUAAAAUAUAAGUAUAAUUUAUAUGAAAGUGCAAAAUAUCUAUACCUAUAAUUUUAAUCAAAAUCAAAAACAAUUUUAAUCAAAAUUCCAUAAAAAAUAUUAUUUGUAAUUUAUACGCAUUAACGAAAUAAAAAGAGCAGACAUACUAGCAUAGAGUGUGUCCGUCCGAACGCUGACUUUAUAUAUUUUUAGGAUUAAAUACAUUUUUCGUCUGUAUAAAUAUUCAAACUUUUUGUUUUAAUUUUUAUUAAAAAUUUCUUAUUCUUUUAGUCCUACAAAAUUUAUUCGUCAACUCUUCAAAUUUUUCAAUGAAUUUUUGCAUAUAUAUUCUAAAUGAGUGAAUAGACUAUUUCGUCUUCAAAUUUGUAUGCAUUGGUCAUUUUCAUUCUCAAAUUUUUUGAAAUAGCCAAUACGUCCUUGAAUUAGCCAUCUUCUCAUCCUAAAAAUAAUUUUUUUUACUUUUAUUGUUUAGUGAUUCUCUUUUAAUUAGAUAUAUUUCUUAGUGAUUAUGUUUUAAUUCUAUAAGAUUGUUUCUUUACAUUUUAAGAAGUUUCAUUUUGAUCAAUAAGAUAUCUGAUAAAAUAUGAUUUCAAGCUCUUUGAUGGACCUUUCAGCCACUAAGUUCAUGUUUUCAAAGUAGAUGGUUAGGUCUUAAUGUUGCGAAUGAUUCUGUUUUGUAAUAACUGGAACCUCUAUAGUAUGCUUCCUUGCUUCUUGAAUCUAUGAACAAUAUUUCUAUUUUGCUUAUGUUCUGGUAUUUGUCUUUAUUUUCUCAAGUCUUUACUAUGCUUUUAUUACUCUAUACUAAAAUCUAUUUAUUCUCUUCUUUUUAGUUUAUAAACAUGUGAAUUUGACAGUUUAUCGUUUUAUAAAAGAAUGUGUCUAAGAGGCUAGCCUUUUCCAACACUGACGUGUUGCAACUAGUCACAAUCCCAAUAAGUUGUAUUAACUAGUCACAAUUCGAAUAAGUUGUAUUUUUCACUAAUUAUCCACAAAUGCAGUUUCUCGACAUUCUUUUAAUUUUACUCUCUUCGUCCCAAAUUAUAGUUGCUUUGGAGAAAAAACUUGUCUCAAAUUAUGAGUCGUUUUACAAUACAAAUGAAGCAUUAAAUCCUACUUUUUCUACUAUAUCCUCAACUAUUUAUUACUACCACUUCUUUCAAUUUUUAAUUUAUCUUUUCACAUAUCAUUAAUGAAGGAUAAUUUUGUAAAAUUACUUAGAAUUUCUCUUUCGCAGACAACAUUAAUUAUGUUUUUUAAUUUAUGUAAAAUAUCUAAAACAUCAUUUAAUUUGGGACGGAUGAAGUAUCAUUAUUUGACAGUAUCGCUGAUUAAAUUAAUAAAUAAGAUAAAUAAUUCAGAGACCGUUUCGUGUAACAAUUUGUAAUAACUUUUGUUUUAAACAAAAAAACAAAAAAAAAAAAGACAUUUUUUUGAUCAAAUUCGUCCCUCACGUGGAAGUUGACUUGAAACUCCACAUCAACGUUUAACGUGUUAUGUCCGCAUUAAGGCUGUGUUUGGCUAGGAAAAGAAAGUGAAAGUGAAAGUGAAAGGAAAGAAACAAAAAGGAAAGAUAGAGUAAGGAAAGAUAGUGAGUAGAAAGAGAGAUGAUUGUUUUAGUUGUUUGGAAUGAGAGAAAAUGAAAGGAAAGAAAGAUUAAAACUUUCUCUCCCCUUGCAUGGUUCAUUAGAAAGUUGAAAGGAAAGAAAAGUAUAUAUUUAUGAAAUGACAAAAAUAUCCUCAAGUAAAAAAUAAAAUGGUAUAAAGAAUAAAAUUGGAAAGCAAAAUAGUAAAAUUAUGAACAGUUCCUUUAACAAAUAAAUAUACACUUAAGCAUCAUUUUAUCUUCCUAUUUAGUUUUUAUUAAAGUUAUGUAAGCUUAUUAUUAUCCAAAAAAAAAUUACCUUUUGAAGUUCAAAUUCUACUAUAAAUAUCAAGUUUGAUGGACUAAUAUUGAAGCAACUUCAUUCUACUAUAAAUAUUGAUUUUGAGUAGUAAUUCAUACAUGGCCAAUGUCAUUACACUUCCUAGUGCAAAUUCAACACAAGUUCAAGAUCAAAGUUCUUUGACUAAACUACCACAAAACUGCAAAUUUGUGGACAUUGAACUUCUCUACAUUUGUGUUGAUAAUACCAAUCCUCAUUUUUCCUUUAGCACCUUGUCAUGGAUCUACAAUCAUAACCACUGCCUAAGAUUCAAAGCCCUGCAUGACACAAUGCAUAUGUAUGAGCAAGUUAUUUGUAACUACUAAAAAGAACAAAAAUAAUAGUAGUGAAUGUUGAAUUUAAUUUUAACUAGAAGGCCAUAUUUUUUUAAUCAGCAAUUUUAUUUAAUACUCCCUAUCAAAGAUAGCAGCUAUAAAAAAAAAAAAAAAAAAGUGUCAUGAACCCACUAUAAAGCUGAUGCCAUAUUCUAUGACAUAUCCCACAAGGUCAUGUGCAACAAGAAGAGAAUCAAUUUGAUUAUACCAAGCUGGAUAAUUGGAAGAGUUAAGUUUGAUGGGAAGGUGAGUGGAGGUAUUGAAUUCCAAUAAUUCAUUUGGUUCUUUGGUAACAGUGGCCGUGUAACGCCCUAUUUUAUUAUUUAUUUAUUUUAUUGAGUUUAGAUGUCUUUUUAUAAUUUAGUCGAUUUUUUUUUAUAAGUGAUAUUUUGUUAUGAUAUAUGUUGGUAUUUAUUAGUAUAAUAUAUAUGUUAUUUGAUGUAGAAAUAAAUAUAUUUGUUAUUUGGUGUAGAAAUAUAUAUGUUAUCUGGUGUAAAAAUAUAUUUGUUAUUUGUUAUAGAAAUAUUAUAUAUAUAUAUAUAUAUAUAUAUAUAUAUAUAUAUAUAUAUAUAUAUAUAUAUAUAUAUAUAUAUAUAUAUUAAAAUAUAAUAUUGAGACUUUGAUGACAGAUUUGAAAAUAAGAGAAAAUAAGUAGGUUAAGGAUUUAUAUAAAAAUGGGAGAGUUAAAAUUAGAAAAUAGGGAUUACGUGAAACCUAUUUUUGGAGAAAAAGGGAGAACACCAAGAGAAGAGAAAAGUCAGAGGAGAGAAAGCGGUCGAUCAAUCUAAGGUAAGGGUAGGACUAGCUUUCUCUAAUAAUGAGUUGUAUAAUUCUGAAAAAGGGUUUAACAUUGUAGUUGUUAUUAGUUUUAAUGUUAUAGAAAUUAGGAUUAGAUUUCAUUCAUUCAUAAUCUUUUGUAUAAUCUAUUUUUCUACUUCUACCCAUAAGUGCCUAUUUGUAUAAAGUGAUUAUUGUGGAUUUAAUUAGUGAAAUUUGUGCUUAUGUUUUGAUGCAAUGUUUGAGGUAUGUGAAUUUGAUGUUAAUUAAGCUGUUGAUGAUGAAUUUAUAUGCUCAAGUUAUGUAUAUAUGUAUACUUGUGUUUUUGCUCAAAAUUGGUGAAGUAUGAUGUUGUUUUUUAUGAUUUUUUAAAAUAAUGUUUUGGGUCAAGUUUUUGGUGAAGUAUAAUCUCUUUAGACAAACUUUGGGAUCAAAUUUAGGCAUAGGGAAGUUAAAAUUGGAAUUUUGGGGUGAAAAAUGGGUUUUUCCCGAGUUGCUCUCUGACAGUAGACCCUGUUUCAUGUUCUUGCGUCUUUUUCACAUGUUUCUGUUUUGAAUUGGCCUUUGGUGUAAACGUGAUAAUUGUAUUAGCUUUCCAGUGGUUUUGGUUUGACGUGAAAAUGAUUUUUGGUUUUUGAGUUAUGAUGAAAAUACUCCAAUGAGGUCUUAGUAAAAUUUUACGAAAAUUCCGCAUAACUAUUUCUAAGUCAACCCAAAAUUUAUGGAUUGUCUCCAAACUUCAAAGCUUUUGUACUAUGAGUUCAAUUAAGAUGUUUAAGAGUAUUUAACCUAUGUUGUGAUGAAUCUAUCUUGGUUUGACAUAAAUAUCUUUGAUUGAUGAAUUAUUAUAUGAAUGUAUAUGUUGAUGAGUAUGAUGUUAUAUGAUGUUGUUCAUGAUUGAUGAAUUAUUAUAUUAAUGUAUAUGUUGAUGAACAUGAUAUUAUAUGAUGUUGUUCAUAAUUAAUGAAUUACUAUAUGAAUGUAUAUGUUGAUAAAUAUGAUGAUGUUGUUAAUGAAUUAUUCUAUGAAUAUAUAUGUUGAUAAAUAUGAUGUUAUAUGAUGUUGUUAAUGCUUGACGAAUUAUUAUAUGAAUGUAGAUGUUGAUGAAUAUGAUGUUCUUCAUAAUUAAUGAAUUGUUAUAUGAAUGUAUAUGUUGAUAAAUAUGAUGUUAUGUGAUGUUGUUCAUAAUUAAUGAAUUACUAUAUGAAUGUAUAAAUUGAUGAAUUAUGAUAUUAUGAUGCAAAUUUGUUGUUCAUAUCAUUCAAGUUUGUUGUGAUUAAUGUUGCUAUGUUGCAAGUUGUUGUCAAAUGUCGCCAAGUUGUAAGUUGUUGUAUUAAGUUGUUGAAUUCGUCUAAGUUGUCGAAGCUGUCUAAGUUGUUUAAGUUGUUGGUUGUUGAGUCCAUGAAUACUCAUUAAAAGUUGAGAGCUUGAUGCUCUGAAAUGUAUAAUUAUACAUAUUAAGUUGAGGGUUUGAUGAUCUAUGACCCUAUUUAUGCUCUAUACAUUGAGGGCUUGAUGCUCUGUAAGUUGAGGGUUUGAUGCACUGUGAGCCUAUUUAUGCUCUAUACGUUGGGGACUUGAUGCCCUGAUUUGUACCACAUGCAUGAUUAAGAAGUUGUAGUUGCAUUGUCAAGAUGAUUAAGAUGUCUAAGUCGCAUGGUCGAGUUGAUGUCGAUGUCGUUGCAUUGUCGUUGUUGUCAAGUUUUCGAUUACUAAUGAGUUGUUAAUGAGAAACUAUGUGAAUUAUCAAUAUUAUUUAUUGUUGUUGUUUAUGUUGUUUACGUGAAUCAUUGUUGAUGAUGAUUUGAAGUUGAUUGAUGAUUUAUAGUUUGAAUUAUGUGAGGCAUUAACAUUGUUUAAUUGUUGUUGUUUAUGUAGAUAAAUUUUCUCACUUAGAUUUGUUUAUUAGUUUUACUAAUGAUGAAUAAAUGUUGUUAUGUGUUGUUAAAUUUUUCAAAGAAUUAUAUGCUUAAUAUUAUUGAAUGUGAAAUCUCACCCCUUCUGCUUAGAAACUGUUGCCUUUGCAUGGGUAACUUGCAGGUAACCAGGAUUAGCUGUUGAUGUGAGUUGACUCUCUCACGCGUCGUCUUAGGGUCGCUCUGAUACGUAACGGGAUGGGGAUAUUUGUAUUUUUUUCCAUUUGUUACGUAUUAUUAUGAAUUAUGUUGAUGAACCAAUUGAAUGAAAUUUUAAUAAGUUGUUUAUGUUGAGGCCGUUGUGCCAUUACGUUGAAUAAGAAAUGUUUUCCGCUGCGAUGUAAUUUAAAUUAUUGAUAAAAGAUAUUUUGAAUAAAUAGUAAUUUUACUCUAUUUAUAUUUUAAAGUUGUGUGACAUCCUAUUUAGUUGAUUACUCUGAUGUUUAUGCAAAAAUUUUAAAGUUGGAAAAACAGGGUGUUACAGGCUGCACGAAGCAAAAGCACACCCGCUGAACCUAACCAACAGACCCCAAAAAACCACCCUCAAGUGAGCAGCAAAACGCAGCUGCUUAUGGAACAAUGCACAACAGAGAAAUCUACUUAUGUUACAACAAAACAGGAAAAUAAUUUCUACACCAAAAUAGCAGCAGCUCCGCACUCCUGUCAUAACCGUCCGAACAGUAGCCACCAAAGGCCGCUAUAAACAACGUCAAUCUAUUACCUCAUCAAAUAAUCUCGUGGACACCAACACCACUCGUAGAAAAUACAAGCUGGAUUGUUGAAUCUACCUAACAACCACCUUCAAGACAUUACUUUUAGUCAAAGAACUUUGAUUUUGACUUGAUAGUUAAGGUAAUGCACAAUCUAUACCAUAUAGCAGCUUUGUUGUAUAGACAAUUUAGUCAAAUACUAUGAAUUCUAAGGUAAUUCACUGUCUAUACCAUAUACCAUCAGUUAAAAAAACAGACUGCAUCAUCCAAGUUUGGCAGCAACAAAAAACUCCAGCAUAAAAACAGAAAAAUAAAACACAAUGCUACAGGUCCGUCGUAGCAUCAUAAACACAGUGAUAAAGAUCAAUUAUUUGCAAUUCAAAUAGUAAUAUAAUGAAAUGAGCAUUGGUUGCCAAUUUUUUUUGGAUCAAUACUGGUUGCCAAUUGAUCAUAUAUUCCACCUUAAUAGUAAGUUCAAUAAGCAAGUAAAUGGUUUUCUUCAAUUAACAUAGAUAGCAUAUCAUAUUUAUCAUAGUAGAUGUAUCCUUUGGAGUGCAUACAACCUUGCACCAAAGUGUGUAGAAGGUACAUCCCUACUAGAAUGUUGGACAAGAAAUUCAUCUUCUAAUGAGAUGAUGGCUCGUAAAACAUUGUGAAAGUGACGGCUGACAGUUUCACCGGAACGGUGGAAAAAGAAUGACACAAUACGAUUUUUCACAUUAUGACCAAUGAUGUGUAGAAAUUUAGCAGCUUGCUCUUUAACUGUGAAUCGUAUUGUAUCCUUCACAAUACCAGUUCCUCUCAAUUUAUGACACAACAACAUGAAUGCCUCAGGUCCCAUUCGUAUUAUGUCGCUGCAUUUUUCAGUUUCUACUAGUUGUCUCAUUAAAUCAAUAUGCCUACGCUCUCUCUCAUGACUUCCAUGACUAAUAGGAUUACGCCAACGUGACAUUAUGUUAAGCAUGUGUAAGGUAUGAACAAUAUAACACAAUAUAGGACCACAAAAUAAAGAUGUUGUUGCCUUUCGAAUCGAUGUCGAAAUUGACAUAAAUUUAACAUGCCAAGAUUAGUCGAAGGUUUUAUUUUAGAAUGUACUUCUUUUAUACCAUGAGAUUCAUCACCAGACUUAUCUUCCUCAUUAAUAAAAGAAUCCAUGUCACAAAGUGGAAUGUUAACCUUCAAUCAGAGUAUAAAAUCAAUUGAUGAAACAAAUAAUUUGACAUUAGAAAAUCCCUAAAUAAUUCCCUCACAAAUCAAAAGAUUUGGAGAGUUUAGAAUUUAAUUUGUAAUAUUUUGUAACAAACAAUCAUAAGUAGUGCAAUUAAGAGUUGAUAUAUUUAAAGGGGAAAAAACACACAUAUUUAACUUUUAAAUGAUUUUUAUGUAGAAAUAAUUUUUUUAACACUUGAUUUACGAGUUAAAGACUCUUGAUGCUAUACACAAGUUUUCCAUAAUGCAUAUUUAUCUCCCCUGCAAUCUCUAUUAAAACAAGAAUCUAGAGUUCAUUUUGUUUUUAGAUAAACAAAUCACUUUAUUAAGAAAAAUCAUCCAGCUUAGCAUAAACAGAUAGCAUCAUCACACACAUACCAAACAAUUGAAAGAAAAAACACUCAUAACCUAAGAACACACAAAAUCACUACCUAAAGACAAUAACACAUGACAGAUGACAAAAUAUCAACUCCAACUAUGUUGCAGCCAACAAACUGCAUAGCGUUCUGGUGUCUGCAGUGGCAGCCCUGCUGCUGUUAUAUGUUUUGCAGUUGUUUGCUAUCAUAUAUGUUUUAGGUGUGAUUGAGGCAGCUGGCUUUUUUAUGGUGUGUUUUUAAUUGUUUGGUUAGGUGCAGCUGCGUUGGUUUUGUAUGUUUAGCUGUGUAGUGUGGUCACUAGAUUGCAAUUGUGGUCUCUAUCCCUGAACUCUCAUACGAUGGGGUUUGUUUUGUUUCUUUUCAGCUACUUUCUUCUCUUAUUGAGAGUUUGGAAGCUUAAAUAAUAUUGGCUUUUCAAAAAAAAAAAGUAGGAUCAAACUUUCUUCAUUUCGUAAAUGAAAUCCUUAACACCCAUCACUCAGAUUCAUUUGAGUCUUUUAAGCCAAUUGAUGUCCCAAACAUCAGCCUCAUCUCUAACAAUGAAAUCCUUAACACACAACCUAUAUCUGCAGCUCCCGGCUUCCCUUUCAACGAUCCAUCCACAUUCCAUUACCAAACAUUUUGUGGAGGGGGACACCAUAUUGCUGACAAUCUAUUUCCAUGUUUUAAUCUCUUGAAUUUUAUACAAAUGGACCACGUGAUACACAUAUUCUAUGAAAGGUUUGAGACUUGAGAGACCACCUACCUAAUCCCCAACACGACAUCACAUUGGUAUCAGGCUGCCAUGACAACUUCUGAUAACACACUAGAACACUACCUAUAACAAAUCUUAGGCCUAAAAACAUUCAUAACCCCAUUCUAAGUUUGAUUAAAAAAACUCCAAAACAACAACAAUGUCUUGUUUUAUGUUGCCUUCCCAACAUCCAUAAUUUACCCAAACUGAAACCAACAUGACUUAAUAUACCCAAAUUGAAGGGGAAAAAAGUAAAAAAAAAUAGUCACCUAAAUCAGAUUUUCUAUGAAACCUAGAACACAAAUUAUUUUUUCUCACUUCAUCCGAAAAGCAUUUCAAAGUAUAAUAAAAUGAGGGGAGAAAACAUACAAGGAAUAAAAUUUCAUCAAAACAAAAUAAAUCUCAUGCAUAGAAGAUAAUGAAAAAAAAAACAUACUUAAUUCAAAAUCAAAAUUUUCAAUAAAUAAAGGAAUACCUAAAUGGAAGGGGAAAAAACACAUGAAAAAGAAGAGAGUUAGAAAAGUACCUUACAAAACAAUGAGGUCAAGAUUGAUAGCAAAGAAAAAUGGAGGCAGUGCAACAAUUUGGAUUAAGCAGAUGGCAGAGAAGAAACCAUUGAAAGAGAAAAUAGUGAACCCUCUUCUUUGUUAAAUGGGAGAAGCUACGAUUAUAUUUAAUUAUUGUAUUAGGGGCACUUUUGUCUUUUUGCUCAAAAAUUGAGUCCAUUCUCCCACUUUCAGUCCAAUUGAGCGUGGAAAGGAUUUUUUGGUGGGCCCCAACCAAAACUUUCUUUCCUUGACCUUUUUAUAUUUGUUCAAAACCAUGGAAACACAAUCCUUCCAUCCUCUUUACCUCCCUUCACUAUCUUUCCUUUAUCUCUCACCGGAAACAAACACAGCCUAAGAGAUGAAAUUGAUUGAUGCGUACAAAUUUGGGAACGAAAUAACUAUUUAAUUUAUUUUAGAUAAUCAAAUUUAAAUAUGAAUUUUUAAAGUCAAAAUCAUAAAAAUUAUGGAGAAGGUUAGAACAGAACUUCACUUUUUUUUUUCUUUUUUUUUUUCUUUAUCCCUUCGUGUUACUGUGCCCAACAACACUGAAAAACCGAAAUUUUCCUUCCUCCACAGUUUGACACUUCUACUGCUUUAACAAUGACGACGGGUAGAGCACUCAACAAACACGAUCGUACUUAUUUAUAUAAGCUUUGUUCAAUAGCUUACCAACAUGUGAUGAACUUUUUCUAUAAGUUCUUCCGAAUAAGUGCUUAAGAUAAGAGCAUGUUUGGAUAAACAACUUAUUUGUAGCUUAUAACACAAUAAAUGCUUAUGUACAUGCUUGCAUAAGCUAUAUUUUUAUAGCAAAAGAUAAAAUAAUGUUAAAUUGUUUUUGUAAUUGCUAUAAGUUGUUUUACUAAGCUGUAUUGGAGAAUAUAUGAAAAUAAAUUGAAAAAAGCUGUUGUCAUAAGUUCUCCCAAACAGUUUCACAAAACUACGAGUAGAUAAGCUCAAAUAAACCGGUCGAAAGAGGCCCUUGUUAUACCGUUGUAACUGUGUUUAUCAAUCGAAAUAUGCUUCAAGGAUGGUUGAAAAUGUUGUCAAGGAAGGAUAGAUAAAUGGUUUGUAAGGCUCAUUGAAGAAGAGUAGGGAAAUUUUCACAAGGUAAAACUGUCUAUAAAAUGGUUGUUUUGCAAUAUUUUGUUUACAGUUUAUUCUAUUAAGCAAGUGAGUUUAUAACCUGCUGUAGCAAGUCAAACCUGCAGUGCACGUACGGUGUUGUGCACCCUUGUUUCCAUCUAUUCUGUCACUUUGUUUCAUGAAAAUGAUACCAUUUUUGUUUGAAUGAAUAGGUUAAUCGGUCCUCGACAUUUUGUGCAUCAAUCAAAAUUGUCUAUGUUUUACAAAUCGGCAUAUACGUUCCUAAAACUGGAAUGCGUUAGUCAAAAUGGUCCCUCUGUUACCUUCUGUUGUUAGAGGUUAUGUCGUAACUCUUUGAAUGGAAAUGUGACCUUUAACAGGGAUCACACAUCAAUAGAAACUUAUGUGGUACAUUAAAUUCAUCCAUUUCACGCCAAUUGUGAGUUUACAACCUCAGGAUUCAAAAACAUAAAAUAAUAUUUACCACAUAAAUUUUAUGUACAGUUUUAGUCUCUCUUGAUGUAGAAUUGAU
Molecule: long non-coding RNA, 19940 nt
Filed under: Medicago truncatula (barrel medic)
Lineage: Eukaryota; Viridiplantae; Streptophyta; Magnoliopsida; Fabales; Fabaceae
Description: long non-coding RNA (MTRU_LNC005117)
Source: RNAcentral